UACGUAGGGCGCAAGCGUUGUCCGGAAUUAUUGGGCGUAAAGAGCUCGUAGGCGGUUUGUCGCGUCUGCCGCGAAAGCCCGGGGCUUAACUCCGGGUCUGCGGUGGAUACGGGCAGACUAGAGGCAGGUAGGGGAGAACGGAAUUCCCGGUGUAGCGGUGAAAUGCGCAGAUAUCGGGAGGAACACCGGUGGCGAAGGCGGUUCUCUGGGCCUGUACUGACGCUGAGGAGCGAAAGCGUGGGGAGCGAACAGG
Molecule: ribosomal RNA, 253 nt
Filed under: uncultured bacterium
Lineage: Bacteria
Description: partial 16S ribosomal RNA
Rfam family: Bacterial small subunit ribosomal RNA
Source: RNAcentral